GAUAUUGUACAAUGGGGGCAACGCUGAUCCAGCCAUGCCGCGUGUGUGAAGAAGGUCUUCGGAUUGUAACGCACUUUAAGUUGGGAGGAAGGGCAGUAAGUGAAUACCUUGCUGUUAUGACGUUACCAACAGAAUAAGCACCGUCUAACUCUGUGCCAGCAGCCGCGGUAAUACAGAGGGUGCAAGCGUUAAUCGGAAUUACUGGGCGUAAAGCGCGCGUAGGUGGUUUGUUAAGUUGGAAGUGAAAGCCCCGGGCUCAACCUGGGAACUGCUUUCAAAACUGGCAAGCUAGAGUAUGGCAGAGGGUGGUGGAAUUUCCUGUGUAGCGGUGAAAUGCGUAGAUAUAGGAAGGAACACCAGUGGCGAAGGCGACCACCUGGACUGAUACUGACACUGAGGUGCGAAAGCGUGGGGAGCAAAC
RNAcentral lists this ribosomal RNA (421 nucleotides) under uncultured bacterium. RNAcentral describes it as "partial 16S ribosomal RNA". It matches the Rfam family "Bacterial small subunit ribosomal RNA", at positions 359 to 773 of the family's 1533-position model. The record is from RNAcentral.